This is a long non-coding RNA of Vicia villosa (hairy vetch), 1018 nucleotides long. RefSeq lists it as uncharacterized. The record is from RefSeq and is a predicted model, not a curated record. Lineage: Eukaryota; Viridiplantae; Streptophyta; Magnoliopsida; Fabales; Fabaceae. The transcript has 3 exons.
CAACUCCUCGUCCAAGUCUUCAUCUCCGAGGUAAACCUCUGCCUCUCACUUACCGUCUCAGCUCGAUUCAAUUCUCAAUCUCAUCUCCGAAUAUUCUCGGUCCUCGCAUCAAAUCACUCUGAAUCAAGCUCUCAUCAAAUGAAGAUCUACGCUAAUGAUGAUGGAGCAUCGUUAUUGUUAUUGCGUUAUGGUUGCAAUGUGCGAUGUAGAUAAGAAAUGGAAGAUGAAGAUGAUGAUGGAUGUUGAGAUGUUUUCGUUGUAGAGCGUGCGACUCAGAAUAUCUUGAGAGGUCGAAUAAUUCUUGGUGAUGAUUCAAAGAUGAUGGAGUAUCUUGAAGAAGAUUGUUGAGGAGAGAAGGUCGAAACUGAUUUGAGAACGAUGACGAUUACGUAAUUGAAUUUGUUGCAGUUGAAGAUUGAAUGAAGCAGAGAAUGGAGGAUGAAGAUUAUUGCAGUGAAUCACACGAUGUCGAGGAGGAAGAUGCUAAGGUCUUUUUUGUGAUGAUUUUGCAGCAGAAAUUGAAGUGGAUCGGUUCAGAGGUGAAGCUCCUUUCAUUCUUUUUUUCUUCGGUUUUCUGUUGUUGAUUUUCUGUCAAGAGUGAGGAAGAUCGAGAGCUUUUUUUGUUGUAGUUUCACUUUUCUGCAGAAUUGAAGAUGGGAGAAUGAAGAGAGAAUCGAUGAAGAUUUUGUGGGAGAAGUUGUAGGAAGUGGUGAGAUGAAUGGUGAAGGUUCAAUCGAGGAGAUGAAGUUUGAUGAAGAUGAGGUCCGAAAAAGUUUGUUACACGGUAGUGAUGAAUGAAGAGCAAUGGUGAAGUUUUCUGUCAUGAGGUGAAGAUUGAAGGUGGAGGUAGCGUGAAGAUUGAAAAUGGAGGUUUUCUGAACUCAGAGGGUUGCGGUUCGGUUUUCAAAUUGUGCAAGGCAGCCGGGUUUUUUUGUUAAGCUGCAAGUUUAGAGUAGUUAAAUGAAGAUGAAUCAAGACUUAGGAUUUGGAUUUUGGAUGGUGUUGCUUUGGACUGUGA